Molecule: RNA transcript, 4293 nt
Organism: Eucalyptus grandis
Lineage: Eukaryota; Viridiplantae; Streptophyta; Magnoliopsida; Myrtales; Myrtaceae
Exons: 4
Source: RefSeq, a predicted model, not a curated record
UUUUGUGGAGGCAAUUGGGAGAAAAGCAGAGUUGGGCGCAUCAUCUUUUUUCUUCCAUCUUCCUACCGAAGAGUUGGAGAAAGACGACGUUGCUCGAUCAAGAUUUCACUGCGAUCCAUUACGAACCAUGAAUCACUUGUCAAUCUUGCUUGGUUCCGUCGACUCGAUUUCUUGUUCAAGAUCCGGCGCCGAUUGGGUUGGAGCCGAAUCGAACUACCCGAGCGAUGAUUGACGAGUCCUUCAUGGGUCGUGCGUUCUUCAAGAUUAAAAAUCGAUUCUUUUCUUGGCCUCGGCCUCGGAUUGCGGGUAAAAUUCGACUUCCAUCUUCCUCGUUCUGGAACUUGGGCAAGUUCCAUUUGCGUGGAGUGAGGAUUCUGGGGUCCCUGCUUUUCUAGGAGGGUUUCCGUUUCGUGAUCUGAAUUGGGUCUGACUUGCACAUUGCUAUGUAUUCCGAAAAUCUAAACAAGAUUGCAAAUUUAACCUGGAAGCGGACGAAACUUGAGGUGGGUGACAGCCAUGAAUGAUCCUUUGGUUCCUAUGCAGCAAUUCCGGUAGAUUCAACCGUUGCUGGGUAGUUCUCGAUCACUGAAAUUUUUCUCCUUUUCAAAAUGGUUUUCAACUUUUUUCGCGCCUUAAUGUUUGGAAAUUACAAUAUCGAGCACGACCCCGGUGUAGGUUGUGAUUGUCUCUUCUCUCCCCGCUCCGCGUUCCCUCUCCGUCUUACAUUUUUGGGAGGCAGUUGACCCGGUUCUUGUUGCUUUGCUCCUGGGAAAUUGACAUGCUAUGAAGUGUUUACCAUCAGAGAUUUAUGCUUGCCCCUCUGAUGAAUCUGCAGGUGCAUUGCCUUGUCUAUGUUGCGUAAAGUGAAUGUUGAAAUGAGGGGGAGAAAAGAUUGGAUGGGUGAUGUGUUAAUUGACCAUGAUGUCGAUUAAGGCAUUUUUCUACAUUUUGAUGCAGUUGCAAAUCAUUUAAUUGGAAAAGAUGCAACUUCAAGAUAGGAAGAAUCGAUUGGAAAAGAUGCAACUUCAAGAUAGGAAGAAUCGAUUGGAAAAGAUGCAACUUCAAGAUAGGAAGAAUCGCAACAGGUGCAAAACUUCAUAGCUUUAGCUCUUGUUUAAUGGUUUUUUCCCCUGAGUGCAGAAUUCGUUUGGAGAAAUGAUGGAAUUACUUGCUGCAACUGGCCAGCCUGCUUCAUUUACAUCAGAAGAUGGCUUGUUGGAAAAUCGUUAGCAUGACAAUUACUUUGGUAAUGAAUAUAUUUCAUCACUUAGCAGCACUUUUCUAAACACCCAAACCGUCGGAAGUUUGAACUGAAGCUAAUUGGUUUAAAUGAUGCUUACGUGUUGAUUUGUAGGAGUGAUGUGUCAAUGUCAUAUAUAUCUUAAUCCUGAAAAUAAGUGAGCUCCUAUUACGCAGUAAAAUAUUCAAAAGCAUAAAACUGAGCUUUGAUAACAAGCUCUUUUGAUUACUUCAGGCCUGCUAAAAUUUUAUUAGGAAUCCUAAUAGAUAAAUACUAUUGUUAGUGGAAGUUUGACAGGAAGUAAUGCAUGAGGGAGCUGAAGACCUUGCUUUUAGCUAUGGACCUUGAGGGAAUAAAUUUUGAGGGGGUAGCAUGAUAGUAGAGUUGGAAGAAGAUGUAAACUUUCCAAAGAAGUUUUCAAACUUGGAGAACAAGUCCGAAAUUUUUCAGUCGAGAACAGUUCUUUCCUCCAUUCUUUACCAUGUUAGUGGCAAUCCGUUAUGUCUUUACUAUAACUCUUUUGUUUGUAUGCAAAUGCUUUUCUGAUGGACUUUUAUUUUUUUUAUUUUUUAUUUUUUGGCUUAGCCAUGAACAUUUUAUUUGUUAAUAUGAGUAAAAAUAAGUGGGGAAAAAUUUAAGAUUUUUCUCUUCCCUCCUUCUGCCCUUUACCGCCUUAGUCCUUGUUGAUUUUGAGGGGACAUAAAAAAUCAUGAAGAAUCUCACAUUGGGAUUGCUUUGAAUGAUUGAACACAUGGCUUGGAAAAAUUGAAUAGUAGAAGUGUCUUAUGUAUAAUAUUUAAGUAUAUACUCAUUUUAAAUGGGAUUCUCUUGUGUAUUUGUAUGGGGUCUUUCUGUAGUCCUCCAAACAUCACUGAUUUUGCCUGCGAAGUUAUUACCUUGAUGAUGAAAGGUACUGACGCUUGUUAUUGCACAAAAUGAAUUGCGAAGGUUAUUGUCACGGAUUACUGUUUGUAUGAGACUGUAGACAUACCCAUUGGUAUGACUCAGAGGAAAAACCAGCUAGCCAUUGAUAUGCAGUCACAGGAUAUACAGAGGUUAAGAUGUGGGAUUCACUAAACGGUCAAACAACUUCCUAGCCAGGGUAAGAUCCAUGGCAUCUCUAUUGUAAAUAAGAAUGGAUAGAACUCUGGUAUGAAGCAAUUCGAAGCAAGUCAGUAUUGCUCUCUUCAAAUUUCCUUCUCUCUCACCUUUUAGUUAGUAGUUUUGUGCUUCUUCUUUUCUCUCUCUCUCUCUCUCUCUCUCUCUCUCUCUCUCUUUUGAGAUGGAAAGCAUAGAAACUUCAUUAGUUGAUCUGCCGGUGGGAUUCCGAUUCAGACCAACAGACGACAAACUAGUCAAUCAAUACUAGAAGACACUUGGCAACGAAACAGUUGAACAGAUAAUUCCUGAGGUUGAUGUCCAUCAAUUGCCACCUUGGGAUUUACCUGGCAAGAUAAAUGAACUAUCAAGGAUAAAGUCAGAUGGUGAUGAAUGGUUCCUCUUCAGCCGUCUGCAAAAUAAGUACCCUCAAAGUAAACGGGAGAAGGACAAAUGAUUAUGGCUCUUGGAAGCCAACGGGCAAACCUCACAAAAUCAGGACACAAGACAGAAAGAACACAUUAGAUCUGAAGAAAAUUUUGGUUUUCAAAAAAUGUCAAAGUCCCAAAAAGGCUCAAAUACCAAAUUGGUACUGCAUGAAUACAGUAUCCUCAAUGAUCAGGAACUUUCAUUUCAGAGCCCUUCUGAUUUUAUUUUCUUCUGUAACAUAAUUUUCUGGAGUAGGGACUGAGCAGCUUAUUUUUAGUUGCUCUGACUUUUGCUUCCAUUUUUUUCCCUGAAAUGAAGUAAGCUCUUAUUAAACUUCUAUUGAUUGGUUUUCAGCUAACACAAUUUUACCAAGUAAAAUAUCCUGACUUUUUCUUCUUUUGUUCUUCUUUUCCCUCCAAAUUUUGCUAAUGCUAUAGCUAUCAAUUGCACCAUUAACUGUAUUAUGAAGCUGAGCAAGGAUUCUCUUUUUAAAAGGAGUCUUAUAAGUUGAACAUGGAGUGUUACCAAAGUUGUUAUGUUGACUGAUAUUUGAUUCUUCGAGGUUGGUUUUAUUAUUCCUUUGGGAUAAAACCACGAAGUACUUUCAGAGAUCAGUGAGUAGGCUUGAUUAAAUUGUUAACUUGUCUUUUGUCUUUCUAUAUUAGAGUGACUUCGUUCUUUACCGCUUGAAGAAAAACCCUGAUGAGAAUGGUAAGAAAAAUUCAAAGACUCAGAAGACUGACACAGGUAUCUCUAUCGUGCCUCAAGAAGGCAGCAGAAGUAGCCCUAACUUGUCUGAUGAAGUCAACAACAUAAGUAUACCUAUUAUGCCUCAAGAAGGCAGCAGAAGGAGACCUAACACCCCUGAUGAAUCCAACAACACAAGCUGCUCCAACACAUUAGUAAUUGCCAAAAGCAUAAUACCUGAAGAGAUUCCAAAGGAAUCUUUAAAAGAAAACAUACAGCAACCACCGGCGCUAAUUCUCUCACCAGAAUGGAACUCAUCCCAAUGUGAUUCUGCAACUCCACAGCCACCCACAGCAACUGGGGAGCAAUUUUCUCCUGAUUCGGUAUAUCAGGAUUUGGAGUCUUAUUUUGCUGAUACUGAACUACUCCAAGAGAUAUUGGAAAUGUUGACCCCAUAAGCUGGUACUAGUAUAAACUCUUUUAUAGAAAGCAUUAUAUUAUAAGCUUUUUUUGGGGGGCUAGGUAGUUGGUGUGUACAUCCACUGGCCUGGAAGGACACUCUUCAAGUGCUGAUAUAAGUACGCCUGUGUUGGGCUGCAGAAAGAUAUUUUCCUUGUGGAAAACAAUGUACAUGGAUCAGGUGCAUUCAUUGAUGCACAUUGUUUGUUUAACUAGCUUUUGAUUCCAAGCUGCUUAAUAUGAGUAUUUCGUCAUAGCAGUAGGUGAAUUUUUAUUGUGAAAUUCGCCAGAAAUGUACAAACAGACAUUUGGAUUUGUCUUACCUACUUGUUUUGCACUCAAAUUUUGUUUGUAUAUAUGAGGCAUAUUGAUCUGGCAUC